Molecule: ribosomal RNA, 424 nt
Filed under: uncultured bacterium
Lineage: Bacteria
Description: bacterial SSU rRNA
Rfam family: Bacterial small subunit ribosomal RNA
Source: RNAcentral
UCUCUAUGCGGUGUCAGCCGCCGCGGUAAUACGAAGGGUGCAAGCGUUACUCGGAAUUACUGGGCGUAAAGCGUGCGUAGGUGGUGGUUUAAGUCUGUUGUGAAAGCCCUGGGCUCAACCUGGGAAUUGCAGUGGAUACUGGGUCACUAGAGUGUGGUAGAGGGUAGCGGAAUUCCCGGUGUAGCAGUGAAAUGCGUAGAGAUCGGGAGGAACAUCCGUGGCGAAGGCGGCUACCUGGACCAACACUGACACUGAGGCACGAAAGCGUGGGGAGCAAACAGGAUUAGAUACCCUGGUAGUCCACGCCCUAAACGAUGCGAACUGGAUGUUGGGUGCAAUUUGGCACGCAGUAUCGAAGCUAACGCGUUAAGUUCGCCGCCUGGGGAGUACGGUCGCAAGACUGAAACUCAAAUGAAUUGACGGG